UACGUAGGGACCAAGCGUUGUUCGGAUUUACUGGGCGUAAAGGGCGCGUAGGCGGCGCGGUAAGUCACUUGUGAAAUCUCUGAGCUUAACUCAGAACGGCCAAGUGGUACUGCAGUGCUAGAGUGUGGAAGGGGCAAUCGGAAUUCUUGGUGUAGCGGUGAAAUGCGUAGAUAUCAAGAGGAACACCUGAGGUGAAGACGGGUUGCUGGGCCAACACUGACGCUGAGGCGCGAAAGCCAGGGGAGCAAACGGG
Molecule: ribosomal RNA, 253 nt
Filed under: uncultured bacterium
Lineage: Bacteria
Description: partial 16S ribosomal RNA
Rfam family: Bacterial small subunit ribosomal RNA
Source: RNAcentral